UUAAAACAAAUCAAAACUAAUCAGAACAGAAUUGAUAAAUCUCAAACCUAACAGAUCAGAUUGAUUUUCGAACUAGACCACAAAAAUAGAGAGAUAGAUUUCAAUUUCAGAUUCAAGAGCAGAUUUUUCAAAAGAAAAAUAACAAAAACGAAAUCAAUCAAACUUGCACUGCACGGAUCAGGUUUCAAGAGAUCAAACAACACAAGAUCAGAGAUGAUAUGAUAACAGAUGAUGAGAUUUAGAUCAAGUAAGAACAGAUCUAAAACAAUAAGAACAGAUCGGAAUCACACAAACAGAUUUAGAUCAAAACAAUCAGAGAACUUGAUCAACAAGGAUCCGAACAGUCUAAUACCCAAAACAAGAUCUAAUCAACCCUAAUUCGACAGAUUCUUACACAAGAAACACAGAUCAACACGAAAUCAAAGAGUAUAUGAAGAGACUUCAACAGAUUCGUGUUCAAAACACUCAGAUUUAUCAGAUUUCCACAAUAGAAACACAGAUCGAUCAAAAUCACAACAGAAUAUGAAGAGAUCAAAUCGACAACAGAUAGAAAUCAAAACACUUCCCUUCCAGAGUUGCUCUGAUACCACUUGAUGAGAUCCUAGGAUGAUGCUCUGGAACAGAUGGGAUAAUCCUUGCAGAAACGA
Molecule: long non-coding RNA, 647 nt
Filed under: Brassica rapa (field mustard)
Lineage: Eukaryota; Viridiplantae; Streptophyta; Magnoliopsida; Brassicales; Brassicaceae
Description: long non-coding RNA (BRAP_LNC008064)
Source: RNAcentral